GGGCCCGUAGCUCAGCCUGGUUGGAGCGACAGGCUCAUAACCUGUUGAAUGUGAGCGACGCUUACAUUCGGGGAAUGGUCAAGGGUUCAAAUCCCUUCGGGCCCACCA
Molecule: transfer RNA, 108 nt
Filed under: Candidatus Bathyarchaeota archaeon
Lineage: Archaea; Thermoproteati; Candidatus Bathyarchaeota
Also listed under: 1 other name
Description: tRNA-Ile
Rfam family: tRNA
About the family: Transfer RNA (tRNA) molecules are approximately 80 nucleotides in length.
Source: RNAcentral